RNAcentral lists this ribosomal RNA (281 nucleotides) under uncultured bacterium. Its description in RNAcentral is "partial 16S ribosomal RNA". It matches the Rfam family "Bacterial small subunit ribosomal RNA", at positions 636 to 916 of the family's 1533-position model. The record is from RNAcentral.
UUUUUCUNGAGUAGUGCAGAGGUAGGCGGAAUUCCCGGUGUAGCGGUGGAAUGCGUAGAUAUCGGGAGGAACACCAGUGGCGAAGGCGGCCUACUGGGCACCAACUGACGCUGAGGCUCGAAAGUGUGGGUAGCAAACAGGAUUAGAUACCCUGGUAGUCCACACCGUAAACGAUGAUUACUAGGUGUUGGAGAGCAAAGCUCUUCGGUGCCGCCGCAAACGCAUUAAGUAUUCCACCUGGGGAGUACGUUCGCAAGAAUGAAACUCAAAGGAAUUGACGG